This 28-nucleotide small RNA is filed under the name Bombyx mori (domestic silkworm). Its description in RNAcentral is "piRNA piR-bmo-1696108". The record is from RNAcentral. Lineage: Eukaryota; Metazoa; Arthropoda; Insecta; Lepidoptera; Bombycidae.
UACCAAAAUUGAUUUUGCUCGUGAGUCA